RNAcentral lists this ribosomal RNA (551 nucleotides) under uncultured Glomeromycotina. RNAcentral's name for it is "SSU rRNA". It matches the Rfam family "Eukaryotic small subunit ribosomal RNA", at positions 548 to 1098 of the family's 1831-position model. Lineage: Eukaryota; Fungi; Glomeromycota. The record is from RNAcentral.
UUGGAAGGCAAGUCUGGUGCCAGCAGCCGCGGUAAUUCCAGCUCCAAUAGCGUAUAUUAAAGUUGUUGCAGUUAAAAAGCUCGUAGUUGAAUUUCGGAGUUUGUCGGUUGGUCGGGCUUCAUUGUCCGCACUGGCCUGAUGGAUUCCUACCUUCUGAAUAACCAGCAUGCUAUUAAGUUAGUGCGUUGGGGAAGCAGAGCUAUUACCUUGAAAAAAUUAGAGUGCUUAAAGCAGGCUUAUGCUUGAAUAGAUUAGCAUGGAAUAAUAAAAUAGGACGGCAUGGUUCUAUUUUGUUGGUUUCUAGGAUCACCGUAAUGAUUAAUAGGGAUAGUUGGGGGCAUUAGUAUUCAAUUGUCAGAGGUGAAAUUCUUGGACUUAUUGAAGACUAACUUCUGCGAAAGCAUUUGCCAAGGAUGUUUUCAUUAAUCAAGAACGAAAGUUAGGGGAUCGAAGACGAUCAGAUACCGUCGUAGUCUUAACCAUAAACUAUGCCGACUAGGGAUCGGACGAUGUUAAUUUUUUAAUGACUCGUUCGGCGCCUUACGGGAAAC